UUCAAUCCUAACCAAAUAAAAAGGGAUUUCUUCCAUCAAAGUAGAAUCCAGACUAUAACCACUCCAUACAUCUCCUAACAGUCUAAAUUAUCGCAAUCAAGUUCAUCAAAACACGCCACAGACAAUCAAUCACAGGUUCAUCAUUUGCACAGUCCAGUUCAUACUCAACAUACAUGUAAAACAGUAAGAAAUGCAGUUCAAACAGUACAUCAGCUUCAAAUUCAACAAGCAUGUAUUUUAUAAAAUAAGUUCACACAAAAUAAUUAGCUCCCCUUACCUGGUUUUCUUUAAAAGUAGCAAAUUGAAAACGCCCUAACAGGAACCCACUCAACGUUAACCUACAAAUCACCGAAUUGGUGAUAGCACACAACUCUUAAAGCUCGAUAGGCAGAGAAUGGAAGGAAAACACAUUAGGAACAUGAACCCAACAAAGUUGCAUGCCCUAGGUUCUAGAACAGUGAAAGAGAAGGGGAAAUAGGACUUACUAGUUGGAAUAAGAAAUUGUUUGGUUCAAGUUAAAGCCCUUGCGACCGCGAUCGUUUAGGCACCUUCGAAUUAAAUUUUAAACGGUUCAGUGUCUGGAUCUUUUAGAGAGAAGGCAGAGCACCUUCUUAGGAAGAAAAGAGCUCUGUCUAGAGAGAGAAAGGAAAAAU
Molecule: long non-coding RNA, 653 nt
Filed under: Vigna radiata
Lineage: Eukaryota; Viridiplantae; Streptophyta; Magnoliopsida; Fabales; Fabaceae
Description: long non-coding RNA (VRAD_LNC002140)
Source: RNAcentral